UAUUCUCGAGAAGAUGCACACAAGGUGUGUGGCGUCGCCCCAUCAACAAGAUAGAGAGAUCUUUUGAUGGUUUUGUAGAAGAGCUACACUAGUCGGAAAAGACAAUUAGUGGUAGUCUUCUUUCAUUGUAAUUCUAGGAAAGAGUUGGUGGAUUCCAUAUAGCAAUUGUAGGUUGCGAACUUUUCUAGUUAAUGAAGUCUGGACUAGGUCCCGGGGAUGUAGGUUAUCUGAACCCCGUUAGCAAAGCUUGUGUCUUAUUUACUUUAUGCUCAUACAUACUCGAAGUAGAUCGUACACAUAGUUGAAUUAGUCACACAUAUGCACUUUCAUAAAGCACAAAAAAAACGUUACCGUUGUAGAGAAAGUUGACCGCAUGACUAAUAUUGGGCUUCUCCUUUUUGAUUGAAAUAGAGGUCUUAUCCAAGUUGUCUUGAUACAGAGUGAUAUUGCUUUUACCCUCCUUCCAACUUGAGGUAGGUGGCACACCAAUAGAAAAAAUUGAUCCAUAGUGGUAUUGCUUUUAUUCUUCAAACAAUUGAUGCAUAGUAACUAUAUUUCAGAUGCUUACUAGGUAACUCUAAUGUUUUUGGAUCAGUAGUCUAUUUUCAGGUAAUGAAAUUGUGAGGAGUUUCAUGUUCGUUGCGUGAUGAUAGAAACAUUGGCACCAUUCGGAGGCUUUGCGUUCAUUGCAGCAUAGACGACAACCCUACUUUCUUAAACAAUCUAAAAACCAUUUAUAUUUGGUCAAGCUUAUCCGACAUAUGUACUCAUUGUUUACUCCCUAUAGGAGAUUGCUUAAUGCAAUUUUGUGUUGACAUCUUCCUUUACUUGUUCACUUUGUUGCUGAAGGGAUUAGGUAAAUGACCGGAUUAAUGUAAUCUUAUUACCAUAC
Molecule: long non-coding RNA, 892 nt
Filed under: Capsella rubella
Lineage: Eukaryota; Viridiplantae; Streptophyta; Magnoliopsida; Brassicales; Brassicaceae
Description: long non-coding RNA (CRUB_LNC003772)
Source: RNAcentral